This 705-nucleotide ribosomal RNA is filed under the name uncultured bacterium. RNAcentral describes it as "bacterial SSU rRNA". It matches the Rfam family "Bacterial small subunit ribosomal RNA", at positions 56 to 755 of the family's 1533-position model. The record is from RNAcentral.
UGCAGUCGAACGGCAGCACGGGAGCAAUCCUGGUGGCGAGUGGCGAACGGGUGAGUAAUAUAUCGGAACGUGCCCAGUCGUGGGGGAUAACGCAGCGAAAGCUGUGCUAAUACCGCAUACGAUCUCUGGAUGAAAGCGGGGGACUCGUAAGAGCCUCGCGCGAUUGGAGCGGCCGAUAUCAGAUUAGCUAGUUGGUGGGGUAAAGGCCCACCAAGGCGACGAUCUGUAGCUGGUCUGAGAGGACGACCAGCCACACUGGAACUGAGACACGGUCCAGACUCCUACGGGAGGCAGCAGUGGGGAAUUUUGGACAAUGGGCGCAAGCCUGAUCCAGCAAUGCCGCGUGCAGGAUGAAGGCCUUCGGGUUGUAAACUGCUUUUGUACGGAACGAAAAGGUCUGCCUUAAUACGGUGGGCCCAUGACGGUACCGUAAGAAUAAGCACCGGCUAACUACGUGCCAGCAGCCGCGGUAAUACGUAGGGUGCGAGCGUUAAUCGGAAUUACUGGGCGUAAAGCGUGCGCAGGCGGUUAUAUAAGACAGACGUGAAAUCCCCGGGCUCAACCUGGGACCUGCAUUUGUGACUGUAUAGCUAGAGUACGGUAGAGGGGGAUGGAAUUCCGCGUGUAGCAGUGAAAUGCGUAGAUAUGCGGAGGAACACCGAUGGCGAAGGCAAUCCCCUGGACCUGUACUGACGCUCAUGCACG